Molecule: ribosomal RNA, 660 nt
Filed under: uncultured bacterium
Lineage: Bacteria
Description: bacterial SSU rRNA
Rfam family: Bacterial small subunit ribosomal RNA
Source: RNAcentral
AGAGUUUGAUCCUGGCUCAGGGNUGAACGCUGGCGGCGUGCCUAAUACAUGCAAGUCGAACGAACCUUCGGGUUAGUGGCGAACGGCUGAGUAACACGUUGGAACCUGCCCUAAAGUAAGGCAUAGCCUCGGGAAACCGGGGGUAAUUCCUUAUGUGAUCUACGGAUUAAAGAUUUAUCGCUUUAGNGAGGGUCCAGCGGCCGAUUAGCUUGUUGGUAGGGUAACGGCCUACCAAGGCGACGAUCGGUAGCUGGUCUGAGAGGAUGAUCAGCCAGAUUGGAACUGAGACACGGUCCAGACUCCUACGGGAGGCAGCAGUAGGGAAUCUUCCACAAUGGGCGAAAGCCUGAUGGAGCAACGCCGCGUGCAGGAUUAAGGCUUUCGGGUCGUAAACUGCUUUUAUUUGGGAAGAUUAUGACGGUACCAAAUGAAUAAGGAUUGGCUAACUCCGUGCCAGCAGCCGCGGUCAUACGGAGGAUCCAAGCGUUACCCGGAUUUAUUGGGCGUAAAGCGUUGCGUAGGUGGUUUAGUAAGUGAGGUAUGAAAUGUUAGGGCUCAACCCUGAAGGUGUAUCUCAAACUACUAAACUUGAGGAUGGUAGAGGCAAGUGGAAUUCCAGGUGUAGGAGUGAAAUCCGUAGAUAUCUGGAGGAACACCAAU